RNAcentral lists this ribosomal RNA (484 nucleotides) under uncultured bacterium. RNAcentral describes it as "partial 16S ribosomal RNA". It matches the Rfam family "Bacterial small subunit ribosomal RNA", at positions 30 to 507 of the family's 1533-position model. The record is from RNAcentral.
AUUGAACGCUAGCGGGAUGCCUUACACAUGCAAGUCGAACGGCAGCACGGACUUCGGUCUGGUGGCGAGUGGCGAACGGGUGAGUAAUGUAUCGGAACGUGCCCAGUAGCGGGGGAUAACUACGCGAAAGCGUAGCUAAUACCGCAUACGCCCUACGGGGGAAAGCAGGGGAUCGCAAGACCUUGCACUAUUGGAGCGGCCGAUAUCGGAUUAGCUAGUUGGUGGGGUAACGGCUCACCAAGGCGACGAUCCGUAGCUGGUUUGAGAGGACGACCAGCCACACUGGGACUGAGACACGGCCCAGACUCCUACGGGAGGCAGCAGUGGGGAAUUUUGGACAAUAGGGGAAACCCUGAUCCAGCCAUCCCGCGUGUGCGAUGAAGGCCUUCGGGUUGUAAAGCACUUUUGGCAGGAAAGAAACGUCGCGGGUUAAUACCCCGCGAAACUGACGGUACCUGCAGAAUAAGCACCGGCUAACUACGUG